This 301-nucleotide ribosomal RNA is filed under the name uncultured bacterium. RNAcentral's name for it is "partial 16S ribosomal RNA". It matches the Rfam family "Bacterial small subunit ribosomal RNA", at positions 509 to 809 of the family's 1533-position model. The record is from RNAcentral.
CAGCCGCCGCGGGAAUACGUAGGUGGCAAGCGUUGUCCGGAAUUAUUGGGCGUAAAGGGAGCGUAGGCGGGUCGUUUAGUCAGAGGUGAAAUCCCGGGGCUCAACCUCGGAACUGCCUUUGAUACUGGCGACCUUGAGUAUGGGAGAGGUGAGUGGAACUCCGAGUGUAGAGGUGAAAUUCGUAGAUAUUCGGAAGAACACCAGUGGCGAAAGCGACUCACUGGCCCAUUACUGACGCUGAGGCUCGAAAGCGUGGGGAGCAAACAGGAUUAGAUACCCCCGUAGUCCCUGUCUCUUAUAA